GCAAACUUGGUCAUUUAGAGGAAGUAAAAGUCGUAACAAGGUCUCCGUUGGUGAACCAGCGGAGGGAUCAUUACCGAGUUUUCAACUCCCAAACCCCUGUGAACAUACCUAUCGUUGCCUCGGCGAGAGUAGCCCCAGGCGUUGGCGCAAGCCUUCGCCCUGGUAUCAGGCGCUCGCCGGAGGACCCAACUAAACUCUUGUAUUCUAAAGAAUCUUCUGAGUAACCAAAACAAAUAAAUUAAAACUUUUAACAACGGAUCUCUUGGUUCUGGCAUCGAUGAAGAACGCAGC
Molecule: unclassified non-coding RNA, 291 nt
Filed under: uncultured fungus
Lineage: Eukaryota; Fungi
Description: partial contains small subunit ribosomal RNA, internal transcribed spacer 1, and 5.8S ribosomal RNA
Rfam family: Eukaryotic small subunit ribosomal RNA (bases 1-73)
Source: RNAcentral